This 666-nucleotide small RNA is filed under the name Histoplasma capsulatum. Its description in RNAcentral is "hypothetical RNA". Lineage: Eukaryota; Fungi; Ascomycota; Eurotiomycetes; Onygenales; Ajellomycetaceae. The record is from RNAcentral. RNAcentral also lists the same sequence under 1 other name.
ACCACAAUAGUUACACCAAGCCAGCCACAGCUUGCAAACGCCCCAAAAAAUCCUUUGACGGAAUCCUGGACCGGCUCUAAUAGACCUUCUCCAUAUCUUUCUACUAGGAGGCACGGAUUUUUCCACCCUCUUUCAAGUGGAAUAUGAACUGGAGGAACUGUCGAUCUUGAAUGGCACUGUACAUCAAACGCCCAUUGCAGGAUGCAACCAUAUAAUUCUUUUGACAUCCUCCUCCUUGAACUUUAACCCCCAUCCCGGAGAGCAGGACUCUGGCAGAUAUCCAACAGGAAAAAUCCAAUCUUCGCAUUUUGCUCGGAAUUGAGGAGAGAGAACCCUUUUCAUCCUUCUCCUCAUUCCUCUCUUCCCCCUCAACGCGAUCUCGUGGGUUUCAUAUCUUCUUCAAUGACAGGAUGCUGAAAUUACGUAUCCACCAGAGCAGGUCAUGCUGUGCAAAAUUGGUGUUUAUAUAUUAUACAUAAUAUAUUUUCUUUCCUUUUCCUUUUCUUUUUCUCUUUGCGAUGAGCUCCCAAAAGUCUGCUGGACAGGGUCAAAGCGUGAUGGGGCUUUUGGCUUCAUGUUUCUAUAUUUCCGGCGUUUGCUUUUGCCUGCGCUUCUCUGGCCCGUCCAUGACGGGUGGAACCUAUUGGGACAACGCUGCGAGCGAUC